Molecule: ribosomal RNA, 472 nt
Filed under: uncultured bacterium
Lineage: Bacteria
Description: bacterial SSU rRNA
Rfam family: Bacterial small subunit ribosomal RNA
Source: RNAcentral
UGGGGAAUUUUGGACAAUGGGCGCAAGCCUGAUCCAGCCAUGCCGCGUGUGGGAAGAAGGCCUUCGGGUUGUAAACCACUUUUGUCAGGGAAGAAACGGCCUGAUCUAAUACAUUGGGUUAAUGACGGUACCUGAAGAAUAAGCACCGGCUAACUACGUGCCAGCAGCCGCGGUAAUACGUAGGGUGCGAGCGUUAAUCGGAAUUACUGGGCGUAAAGCGUGCGCAGGCGGCUUUGCAAGACAGAUGUGAAAUCCCCGGGCUCAACCUGGGAACUGCAUUUGUGACUGCAAGGCUAGAGUACGGUAGAGGGGGAUGGAAUUCCGCGUGUAGCAGUGAAAUGCGUAGAUAUGCGGAGGAACACCGAUGGCGAAGGCAAUCCCCUGGACCUGUACUGACGCUCAUGCACGAAAGCGUGGGGAGCAAACAGGAUUAGAUACCCCNGUAGUCCCUGAGCGGGCUGGCAAGGCGCAU